RNAcentral lists this transfer RNA (73 nucleotides) under bacterium. RNAcentral describes it as "tRNA-Arg". It matches the Rfam family "tRNA". From Rfam's summary of the family: Transfer RNA (tRNA) molecules are approximately 80 nucleotides in length. Their secondary structure includes four short double-helical elements and three loops (D, anti-codon, and T loops). RNAcentral also lists the same sequence under 1 other name. The record is from RNAcentral.
GUCCCUGUAGCUUAAUGGAUAAAGCGUCUCCCUGCGGAGGAGAAGAGUGGCUGUUCGACUCAGCCCAGGGACA